This 535-nucleotide ribosomal RNA is filed under the name uncultured Mycobacterium sp. RNAcentral describes it as "bacterial SSU rRNA". It matches the Rfam family "Bacterial small subunit ribosomal RNA", at positions 54 to 606 of the family's 1533-position model. The record is from RNAcentral. Lineage: Bacteria; Bacillati; Actinomycetota; Actinomycetes; Mycobacteriales; Mycobacteriaceae.
CAUGCAAGUCGAACGGAAAGGCCCUUCGGGGUACUCGAGUGGCGAACGGGUGAGUAACACGUGGGUGAUCUGCCCUGCACUUUGGGAUAAGCCUGGGAAACUGGGUCUAAUACCGAAUAGGACCACGCGCUUCAUGGUGUGUGGUGGAAAGCUUUUGCGGUGUGGGAUGGGCCCGCGGCCUAUCAGCUUGUUGGUGGGGUAAUGGCCUACCAAGGCGACGACGGGUAGCCGGCCUGAGAGGGUGACCGGCCACACUGGGACUGAGAUACGGCCCAGACUCCUACGGGAGGCAGCAGUGGGGAAUAUUGCACAAUGGGCGCAAGCCUGAUGCAGCGACGCCGCGUGAGGGAUGACGGCCUUCGGGUUGUAAACCUCUUUCACCAGGGACGAAGCGUAAGUGACGGUACCUGGAGAAGAAGCACCGGCCAACUACGUGCCAGCAGCCGCGGUAAUACGUAGGGUGCGAGCGUUGUCCGGAAUUACUGGGCGUAAAGAGCUCGUAGGUGGUUUGUCGCGUUGUUCGUGAAAACUCACA